Molecule: ribosomal RNA, 408 nt
Filed under: uncultured Methylomirabilota bacterium
Lineage: Bacteria; Methylomirabilota (SeqCode)
Description: bacterial SSU rRNA
Rfam family: Bacterial small subunit ribosomal RNA
Source: RNAcentral
CGUGGAGACAGGUGGUGCAUGGCUGUCGUCAGCUCGUGUCGUGAGAUGUUGGGUUAAGUCCCGCAACGAGCGCAACCCUCACCUCUUGUUGCCAUCAGGUCAUGCUGGGCACUCUAGAGGAACUGCCCCGGUCAACGGGGAGGAAGGCGGGGAUGACGUCAAGUCAUCAUGCCCCUUACGUCCUGGGCUACACACGUGCUACAAUGGCCGGUACAAAGGGAUGCCACACCGCGAGGUAGAGCUAGACCCAAAAAGCCGGUCUAAGUUCAGAUUGGAGUCUGCAACUCGACUCCAUGAAGGAGGAAUCGCUAGUAAUCGCGUAUCAGCACGACGCGGUGAAUACGUUCCCGGGCCUUGUACACACCGCCCGUCACACCACGAAAGCCUGCUGUACUCGAAGUCGCUGAG